AGAGUUUGAUCCUGGCUCAGGACGAACGCUGGCGGCGUGCCUAACACAUGCAAGUCGAACGGACGAGGCCCCUUCGGGGACCGAGUUAGUGGCGGGCGGGUGAGUAACGCGUGAGCAACCUGCCUUUCAGAGGGGGACAACAGUUGGAAACGACUGCUAAUACCGCAUGAUGCAGCGAGAUCGCAUGGUCUUGCUGUCAAAGAUUUAUCGCUGAAAGAUGGGCUCGCGUCUGAUUAGCUAGUUGGAGGGGUAACGGCCCACCAAGGCGACGAUCAGUAGCCGGACUGAGAGGUUGAACGGCCACAUUGGGACUGAGAUACGGCCCAGACUCCUACGGGAGGCAGCAGUGGGGAAUAUUGGGCAAUGGGGGAAACCCUGACCCAGCAACGCCGCGUGAAGGAAGAAGGCUUUCGGGUUGUAAACUUCUUUUACCAGGACGAAGAACGUGACGGUACCUGGAGAAAAAGCCACGGCUAACUACGUGCCAGCAGCCGCGGUAAUACGUAGGUGGCAAGCGUUGUCCGGAUUUACUGGGUGUAAAGGGCGUGUAGGCGGAGCUGCAAGUCAGAUGUGAAAUCUGGGGGCUUAACCCUCAAACUGCAUUUGAAACUGUAGCCCUUGAGUAUCGGAGAGGCAGGCGGAAUUCCUAGUGUAGCGGUGAAAUGCGUAGAUAUUAGGAAGAACACCAGUGGCGAAGGCGGCCUGCUGGACGACAACUGACGCUGAGGCGCGAAAGCGUGGGGAGCAAACAGGAUUAGAUACCCUGGUAGUCCACGCUGUAAACGAUGAAUACUAGGUGUGGGGGGACUGACCCCCUCCGUGCCGGAGUUAACACAAUAAGUAUUCCACCUGGGGAGUACGACCGCAAGGUUGAAACUCAAAGGAAUUGACGGGGGCCCGCACAAGCAGUGGAUUAUGUGGUUUAAUUCGACGCAACGCGAAGAACCUUACCGGGAUUUGACAUCCUACUAACGAAGCAGAGAUGCAUUAGGUGCCCUUCGGGGAAAGUAGAGACAGGUGGUGCAUGGUUGUCGUCAGCUCGUGUCGUGAGAUGUUGGGUUAAGUCCCGCAACGAGCGCAACCCCUAUUGUUAGUUGCUACGCAAGAGCACUCUAGCGAGACUGCCGUUGACAAAACGGAGGAAGGCGGGGACGACGUCAAAUCAUCAUGCCCCUUAUGUCCCGGGCUACACACGUAAUACAAUGGCGGUCAACAAAGGGAAGCAAAGCCGCGAGGCAGAGCAAACCCCCAAAAGCCGUCUCAGUUCGGAUUGCAGGCUGCAACUCGCCUGCAUGAAGCUGGAAUUGCUAGUAAUCGUGGAUCAGAAUGCCACGGUGAAUACGUUCCCGGGCCUUGUACACACCGCCCGUCACACCAUGAGAGUCGGGAACACCCGAAGUCCGUAGUCUAACCCGCAAGGGAGGGCGCGGCCGAAGGUGGGUCUGAUAAUUGGGGUGAAGUCGUAACAAGGUA
Molecule: ribosomal RNA, 1473 nt
Filed under: metagenome
Description: bacterial SSU rRNA
Rfam family: Bacterial small subunit ribosomal RNA
Source: RNAcentral